RNAcentral lists this long non-coding RNA (2373 nucleotides) under Salvia miltiorrhiza (redroot sage). RNAcentral's name for it is "long non-coding RNA (SMIL_LNC007384)". Lineage: Eukaryota; Viridiplantae; Streptophyta; Magnoliopsida; Lamiales; Lamiaceae. The record is from RNAcentral.
GGGUGACCCAUCAUCUACCUCACUCAAACUUUUUCUUUUUACCCAAACCCUUUCGUAGAGAGAGAGUGAAGAUUGUAAAAGAAAAAUCCUCCAUUUUGGACAAAAAUCUUCAAGCCAUGGGUUGAAUCUCUAGUUUUUCCUCCGAUUAACAGGUAUUACAUGAGCUUCUAUCAUUUUCAAACAUCCAAAUCAGUUUUUAAUUAGUAAUGAAACUACAAAAUCUCUCUCUAAAAAUAUACAUAUAUACCUAUGUGUAUAUAUGCCUUUUUAACUUCAUAUCUUUCUUGUUCUAGCUACUGGAGUAUUAUGAAAUAGUUUUUGGAGUAGAGAUCAAGGAGAUACAUACUAACCCCAAUUUCGAAAAAACCCUAGCUUGAUUAAGGUAAGGAAUUUUGUUUUGUUUCACCAAAUUCAGGUUAUAUGUAUUGUUUGUAUAUAUAUAUGAGUAUAUUUGUGUUUUCAUUUGUUGGACUGCUAGAUAAAUUUGGGAAAAUAGAAUUUCCACAGUCUUUUUCGACAGGCCCUUGUUGUUCAAAUGUCUUGAAAAUUUUAUGGUGUAUAUAUUGGAGUGUUUUGAACUUACACACAAAUUUUUGAGUCUUUUGGAUAAUGUUUACUGCUCUUUUAAAAUCAAAAACUUUUACUGGCAAUCUCUGUCAAAAUGUUCUGUAUGACAGAGACUUGAGCCAUCCAUUUCAGUAGUUUCCUAUUGACAAAUACCUCCGAAUUUUUUUUUGUGUGAAGUUGAAAGUGUUAAGGACCCACUUGAAAAUUUUGAGAUCAUUUAAGAAACAUUUCCUAUAUUUCAAAAAUUCAAACAUUUCGUUGCCAGAAACUGCCAGAAUCUGGUAGGCAGUAGGAAAAUGGCCAUAUCUCUUAAACCACUUGGAGUUUUUCAACGUACUUUUUUUUAAAGUAAACUAGACUCAUAGAGGUUUCUGUGCAUAUAAAAAUAGAAUCUUGAAGAGCUCUGGAUCAAAACAGUUUAUUAUUGAAAGUUGAUGCAGUGCAGAAAGGUUGAAAUAUGGUGUUCAUUAAAAUGAUUUGUAAUAUGUAAUUAUGAGUUAUCUCAAGUUUAUAUGUUUUAAUUAGGAAUUUUUGUUAAAGAGAUGCCUAGGUAAUAUCUUGAAUCAUAUGCUUUUAUGUGAGAAGAGUUCGGGCUUCUGCCUCCCGGACAUUUUUGAAUGAAUUGUUUGGGGAAAAGCACGCUUCUGUAUUAUGGACCUCUAUAUAUGUGGUGUUUUCUAUUUUGUUAGCUAUGGAAGACCAUCGUUUAUAGACUCAAGCUUUUUGUUCUUGUGAGAACUCGGUGAGAGUUAGAAUUUAGUCUAGUAUGGAAAGUUGGAUGCAAACCCUAAGGAUAGUAAGAGAUGUUUUGUUUAUGCAACUAGGUCUUAUGAACUUUGCGACUCAUUUGUUAACCCUAUAUAAUGAAGGUCCGACGAAUCUUUGACGACACCAUUGUGAGGAAGAGGAAGUAUACUAGUGAUUGAGUAAGCAUAUCACAGGUGGGCAUUUAUUUACUUUGAUAAUAGUGAAAAUCAUAUUCUGUUUCGAUAAAGCAUUUCAGUAAAGUGACGAUGCAAACAUAUCAUGCCAAAAUACUUUAUGAUUUUGAGUAUGGUACCGAGCUAUUAAGGGCUGAUCACCCUGUAUAAAUCGAUAUCGGUCUCUAUGCUAGACAAUUAUGCUAGUAAGGGACGGGCGCUCAAGGUUGUUUGACUGGGAGCCGUCCUUCGGGUCGGCCGGUCGUGGUGACAGUGGGAGGAGGCCUACUCCCCGUCACUUGGCUGAGGUUAUUGUGGAUGUGAUGGUACAUACUCUUGUGAAUUGUCUGCAGGCAUUUUAACGAUAUAUUGUAUUAAAAUAUUUUAGUAGGCACAGGUUCUUUACAAUAAAAUCCCUGUGUGCUGCUAGUUCAUGGCAUGAUAAUGUUAAAGUCUUAUAUAUAUUGUAUCUUUCGGCACAUGUUCACUGAGUAUUUGUACUCAGCCCUGCAUAUAUUUCUAAAUGUGCAGGUUGAGAGGGAAUGGAAAGCAGGUGUGUUGUGCAGCGGAGUUUUCUUUUUGCCAGAUUCUACAAAUGCUAUAAAAUAUGUAAAAGGCCUCAUAUAUGUACCUCUUUUGUUGAACAUGUCCGUCGCAUGUCUUUUGGGCUAUAAACUUAUUAUGUUUUGCUUAGCAAUUAAACCCAAAUAUAUUUUGGGAGAAUAGUUGUAUUUUAGUCUUGUUUCCGCUAGUGCCCAUGGGAUGUAAAUUAAUCUACUUAAAUUGUGUGAUAUCUAUCUUCAAGCUUAAUCCCUCAUCGAUGUUGUAAUAUAUUCCCAUGUUACCUUAGCUCGAGUUCUUGAGAAUAUCCAUCUUCAUUUCUAUU